Molecule: long non-coding RNA, 2657 nt
Filed under: Marmota monax (woodchuck)
Lineage: Eukaryota; Metazoa; Chordata; Mammalia; Rodentia; Sciuridae
Source: RNAcentral
GUUCUCACGUGGACGCGGCCAGUGGGUGGGAGGGGCCUUGGCCCUGAGAGGCAAUGACGUGUUGUAACCAGGGUCUGGCUGUGCUCAGAUGCCCCCACGCCCGCGCCCCCAGAGCACCCCCUGCAGAGCAGCACAGCCUGAGAGCUGGCCUGCAGGUGCAGAGCCACCCCACGGCCAGAUGGGCCUGGCUCAGCCAGGUGGGCUGGCCCCUGCCUCGCAGGUGGGCUGGCCCCUGCCUCGCAGGUGACGAACCUAAGGUGAGGUCCACUGUCGGCGGGCGCUGCAGCCCCAGCCAGCUCCAGGGCGCAGGCGAGGGAGUGGACCCAACUUGGCCUGCGGAAAGCAGAAGAGGGGAGCCGUGUGCCACCCAGCUUGCGGGGCUCCCACCAGGACUCUACCCCUGACCCCAGGGAGGUGCAGCCCUGGAGCCUGGACAGCCACUGGGCUGGAAGGGCUUCACCAGGAGCAGCCCAAGUUGGGCCACCAGACGUGCAUGCUGCACACACACGUGUGUGAACCUGGGUGUGCAGGUGGACUGAGAGCUGCCCUCUGCUAGUUCUGACUCGGGCAGCGCCAGGCUUGAAGGGCACCUUGUUCUGUGCCCGUGUCGUGGAGGAAACUAAGGCUCAGGCACGGGAGACCCAGCGCGCCAGCCAGCCUGUCAGACGAGCUGGGGUGUGACCCCAGGUCAGGUGCCCAAGGCCAACAUGGCCUGGCUGACCAACUGGACACGGGCCAGCUUCUGGCAGAAGGCAGAGGGCUUCUCAAGAUGGUUGGCAUGAACUCAGGGAGAGGUGACCCCAGGAGGGGGUGUCCGCCAGGGUGAAGGUGAACACAGGGGAGAGGUGACCUGGGGGAAGGUGACUACAGGGAAGAAGUGACCUGGAGGGAGAGGUGACCACCAAGAGCAGGGUGACCACAAGGGAAGGUGAACAUAGAGGUCACUAGAGGAAGAGGAGACCACAUGGGGCAAAUGGCCUUGGGGUAAAGAAGGUGAUUACGGGGGAAUUGGUCAUAGGGGGAGGUGACCACAGGGAUGAUGCCCUCCUUGCUCAGUGGGGGUGACCACCUGUGUCCUGGCCUGUAGGGAGGCCCUGGUGCUGUGCUCCUGGGACAGAUGCUGCCCCCAUGGGCAGUGGGCCUUGCCUUCCCAGGCCUGUAGCCCAGGUUCACUGACUCCAGUGGCCUGGAAUCCACAGUGCCUUGUCCCUCUGCCACCCAGCCACCACCAUGCCUAGGCAUCAGCCCCCCUGAGAUCUGGGCCCUGAGGCUGCUGUGACGCAGGCCAGCUGCUGGCCAGGCAGGGCUGUGCCGAGCUGUGCCUGAGCCUGCAGCUCAGGCCCUGGGCAGGGGAGCGGAGCAGCCUGUGCCCACGCCGCUUGAGUCUAGGCCUGGGUGGGACACGGCGAGGCCACGUGGUGGGGUCUGUCCAGGAGGACAAGGGCCAGGGCCUGCGCAGACGGAGGUGGGCAUCGCUGUGCAGAAACCAUAGGGCAGACCUCUCUGAGGCCGAGCAGCCCCUGCGCACCGGGCAGAGGGGCAGGCGCUCCUGUGGCCCUGGCUCUGCCAUCGCCAGCUCAGCCCUGCUCUGAGAGGCGCUGGAGGAGCCCCUCGCCUGCCCAGGCUCUGUGUGACAGCAGAGAUGUCACCGCAGAGGCUGCACCCUCCUCAGCCCGGGAACGCAGGCAUUUGCUGUCCUCUGCGUGACUUCUGGCCUCCAGGCUUGUCCAAGCACAGCUGGGACACCGUGUCCACCCCCGUUAAAGAACGUGGAAGUCACAUCUCCCCACUUCCCUCCUGAGGCCCUGAGCGGGGGAGGGUGUGGGUGGAGGGGAGGCACCUGGUGCCCUGGCAGGGCAGUGACUCGGGGGCCGUGACUCACCAGGGUCAGGUCUCCGGAGGCUGCCCCUCCCUGCCCCCAGCUCUGCUCAGAGACUGCAGAGUCAGCACUUCUGACCUUGGGUUGUGGCCACCAAGGAGCCCUCGAGACAAAGCCCCACUAGGUGUCGUGUCCAGCCUCAACCGAGGGCCAGUGCGGCUUUCUGGAGUGUGGCAAGCUCCUGGUUGGCCCAGUGCUCUGGGGAAGGCCCUGCAGCCCUCCGGGGCUCCCAGCUGGACCGUCCCACCCUGAGGAAACUGCCCUGGAAGCAGCUCCUUCCCAAUGCCCAGCUCCAUCUUUACCGGCUGCCCCAGAGAGUGGCCAGAGACUGGAGCAGGGCCCCGGGGACCAGGUGAGAUGAGGAGCCUUAGGGCAUCCUCCCGGUCGCUCGCUCGCUCGCUCGGUCGUGGCUGCUCCUGUGGUGUCUUCCAGAGGAAGGACCAAGACUGCUGCAGAUGGCUUGAGGGAGGGUGGCCUUCCCCGCUGCGCGGUUCGUCCCAUAGUGUCCCAUCACUCAACUCCAGUCCAAGCUCAGGGCCUGCAAGUCCACCUUGGGAACAGUGGCCUAGCAAAUUUGGGGCAGGUCACCACAGUCAUCUGAAGAAGGUUGUCCAGGGCUCGUUGGCAGAGGGCAGCACCUUGGCCAUCACCGGGAGUCCUGGAUCCCAGAGGCUGCAUUCUUGGUGAUGCCAUUAGCCAACCACCCCCUUGGCUCAUUUGAACUGCUGUUCCAGGUCUCCACAUCACAGAAGCCAAAGCCAGGGGUGAGAGCUCUGUG